AUGGAUCUGCUUCCUGCCAGGGCCCGUGCCAGGAGCAGCGAUGAGCAAAACAACAGCUGCUUUCCGGGCAGUCCCUGCAGAGCCCUGUGUGCUUCCCGAGGGCAGUGGGGCUGGGCUGGCUCAUGGGGUGAGGCUGGGGGCCAGACAGCCCUCGGCCUGCUGCAGGUGCUGCCAGAGCAGGAGACAGUGAGUGACAGGCCUUGGCUCCAGCCCUGUGUGCCUGGGAUGGGGGUUUGGGUGUGCAAAUCCUGGACCCCACCUUGUGGCUCUCAGCAGUUGCAGGGAUGUUCCUGCUGUCAGAUCUGGCUGUCCCCAAAGUGCCAGCAGGUCUGGAGAUGCCCCAGAACAUCUGCCCUAGGAGGGGUCGGGUCCAUCCAUCCUGGAGCCGUGGGCAGGGAUGGGACCCCUGCAUUUGCUGGGGCAGGAAUGCACAUCCCGAGAUCCCCAGUCCCACUGCGGCAGAGCUGCCAGGGGGCAUGUCCGGGAUUUUGGGGGGAGGUGGAGCCAGAGGACACUUGGACCAGAGCAACCAGAGGUGUUCGCGGGGUUCCCAAGGAGCUGUAUCCCCGGGUGGGCUCCGGGAGCGGCGGGACGGACUUCGGGAUCCCGGCAACCUCGGCCGCAGCUGCCGGGGAGCGGCGGGGCCGGGAGCGGUGUCCGAGGGCUCCGUGGGGAGCAGUGCCCAGCGUGUGUGCGGAUCUCCCCCAAAGCAGAACCGCCUGCCGUACCCAAACCCGGCGUCUCCCGCACUCCCGGGGGCACCGAGCCCUCGGCUCCCUCGGUGUCCCACCCCAGCUCCGCUGGCACCGGCUGGGCUCUGCCUCUCACGGUGUCCCAUGUCCCUCAGGCUGCCUUCGGGCACCCCAAAUCCCCGGGCCGUGCCCAGCCGGUGCCCUCCGUUCCCCCGGGGUUGUCACAGACGGCGGCUGCCGCAGCCCCCGGAGAAUCAGCCCCGUCUCUCCCCUUCUCACGGAGCUCUCCUCGGGAGGUGCCCGGGCAGGAGGGGCAGGACGGCAUCGGUCAGGGCAGGGAGCGGCAGGUGCGAGUCUGCACAGGUACCUGGGGCGGCCUGAGCCGGGACCUUGCUCCUCCUGGCCCGUGUCCCAUCGGUGCCCGGGACCACCGACCUGCUCUCCCAGCUCCCGUGGGGCAGAACCCCGGGGAUCGGCAGCCGAACGCCGGUGGAGGGGGGACAGCGGGGUCCGGGGUCGAUGGGAGCUGCUCGGCACGUGUCUGAACAAGGAUUCCCCGGGGAGAGGGAAUGUACGUGCAGGAGCCGGGCCAAAAGCAGACGCAGGGCUCUGGCAGUCCCGGCUGAGCUGA
Molecule: long non-coding RNA, 1323 nt
Filed under: Parus major (Great Tit)
Lineage: Eukaryota; Metazoa; Chordata; Aves; Passeriformes; Paridae
Description: lncRNA (ENSPMJG00000000988.1)
Source: RNAcentral